CAGCAGCCGCGGUAAUACGUAGGGUCCAAGCGUUAAUCGGAAUUACUGGGCGUAAAGCGUGCGCAGGCGGUUGUGCAAGACCGAUGUGAAAUCCCCGAGCUUAACUUGGGAAUUGCAUUGGUGACUGCACGGCUAGAGUGUGUCAGAGGGGGGUAGAAUUCCACGUGUAGCAGUGAAAUGCGUAGAGAUGUGGAGGAAUACCGAUGGCGAAGGCAGCCCCCUGGGAUAACACUGACGCUCAUGCAUGAAAGCGUGGGGAGCAAACAGGAUUAGAUACCCUGGUAGUCCACGCCCUAAACGAUGUCAACUAGUUGUUGGGGAUUCAUUUCCUUAGUAACGUAGCUAACGCGUGAAGUUGACCGCCUGGGGAGUACGGUCGCAAGAUUAAAACUCAAAGAAAUUGACGG
RNAcentral lists this ribosomal RNA (407 nucleotides) under uncultured rumen bacterium. RNAcentral describes it as "bacterial SSU rRNA". It matches the Rfam family "Bacterial small subunit ribosomal RNA", at positions 509 to 916 of the family's 1533-position model. The record is from RNAcentral.